GAUGAACGCUAGCGACAGGCUUAACACAUGCAAGUCGAGGGGCAGCAUUAAUAAUAGCAAUAUUAUUAGAUGGCGACCGGCGCACGGGUGAGUAACGCGUAUGCAACCUACCUAUCAGGGGGGGAUAGCCCAUUGAAAGAUGGAUUAAUACCGCAUAAAGCAGGGAUCCCGCAUGGGAAUAUUUGCUAAAGAUUUAUUGCUGAUAGAUGGGCAUGCGUUCCAUUAGCUAGUUGGUAAGGUAACGGCUUACCAAGGCUACGAUGGAUAGGGGUUCUGAGAGGAAGGUCCCCCACACUGGUACUGAGACACGGACCAGACUCCUACGGGAGGCAGCAGUGAGGAAUAUUGGUCAAUGGGCGAGAGCCUGAACCAGCCAAGUCGCGUGAAGGAUGACUGCCCUAUGGGUUGUAAACUUCUUUUAUGAGGGAAUAAAAAGGGGAACGUGUUCCCUCUUGCAUGUACCUUAUGAAUAAGCAUCGGCUAACUCCGUGCCAGCCGCCGCCGUAACAC
RNAcentral lists this ribosomal RNA (510 nucleotides) under uncultured bacterium. Its description in RNAcentral is "bacterial SSU rRNA". It matches the Rfam family "Bacterial small subunit ribosomal RNA", at positions 28 to 526 of the family's 1533-position model. The record is from RNAcentral.